UACAGAGGGGGCAAGCGUUAUUCGGAAUUAUUGGGCGUAAAGGGCGCGUAGGCGGCUUGGCAAGUGGAAGGUGAAAUCCCUCGGCUUAACCGAGGAACUGCCCUCCAAACUGCUUAGCUUGAGACCGGGAGAGGUGAGUGGAAUUCCCAGUGUAGCGGUGAAAUGCGUAGAGAUGUGGAGGAACACCAGUGGCGAAGGCGGCUCUCUGGACUGUAACUGACGCUGAGGCGCGAAAGCGUGGGGAGCAAACAGG
RNAcentral lists this ribosomal RNA (253 nucleotides) under uncultured bacterium. RNAcentral's name for it is "partial 16S ribosomal RNA". It matches the Rfam family "Bacterial small subunit ribosomal RNA", at positions 524 to 776 of the family's 1533-position model. The record is from RNAcentral.